UGCAAGUCGAGCGGUAACAGGUGUAGCAAUACAUGCUGACGAGCGGCGAACGGGUGAGUAAUGCUUUGGAAUCUUCCCAGUAGUGGGGAAUAACCAGUCGAAAGAUUGGCUAAUACCGCAUACGUCUGUAAAGGGAAAGCGGGGGCUCGUAAGACCUCGCGCUAUUGGAUGAGCCAAAGUCGGAUUAGCUAGUUGGUGGGGUAAUGGCCUACCAAGGCGACAAUCCGUAGCUGGUCUGAGAGGACGACCAGCCACACCGGAACUGAGACACGGUCCGGACUCCUACGGGAGGCAGCAGUGGGGAAUAUUGGACAAUGGGGGAAACCCUGAUCCAGCGACGCCGCGUGUGUGAAGAAGGCCUGCGGGUUGUAAAGCACUUUUAGUGGGGACAAAAAGCUACGGAUUAAUACUCUGUGGUCUUGAUUUAACCCAAAGAAAAAGCACCGGCUAACUCUGUGCCAGCAGCCGCGGUAAUACAGAGGGUGCGAGCGUUAAUCGGAAUUACUGGGCGUAAAGCGCGCGUAGACGGUUUUGUAAGUCAGAUGUGAAAUCCCUGGGCUCAACCUGGGAACUGCAUUUGAGACUGCAUGGCUAGAGUAUCGAAGAGGGAAGUGGAAUUUCCGGUGUAGCGGUGAAAUGCGUAGAUAUCGGAAGGAACACCAGUGGCGAAAGCGACUUCCUGGUCGAAUACUGACGUUCAUGUGCGAAAGCGUGGGGAGCAAACAGGAUUAGAUACCCUGGUAGUCCACGCCAUAAACGAUGACAACUAGAUGUUGGGAGGGUCUGCCUCUCGGUGUCGCAGCUAACGCGU
Molecule: ribosomal RNA, 811 nt
Filed under: uncultured Gammaproteobacteria bacterium
Lineage: Bacteria; Pseudomonadati; Pseudomonadota; Gammaproteobacteria
Description: bacterial SSU rRNA
Rfam family: Bacterial small subunit ribosomal RNA
Source: RNAcentral